Molecule: ribosomal RNA, 119 nt
Filed under: Triticum aestivum (bread wheat)
Lineage: Eukaryota; Viridiplantae; Streptophyta; Magnoliopsida; Poales; Poaceae
Source: RNAcentral
GGAUGCGAUCAUAGCAGCACUAAAGCACCGGAUCCCAUCAGAACUCCGAAGUUAAGCGUGCUUGGGCGAGAGUAGUACUAGGAUGGGUGACCUCCUAGGAAGUCCUCGUGUUGCAUUCC